UACGUAGGGGGCAAGCGUUGUCCGGAUUUAUUGGGCGUAAAGCGCACGCAGGCGGUCUCUUAAGUUUCGCGUGACAGGUGGUGGCUUAACUGCCACAGGACGCGAAAAACUGGGAGACUUGAGGGCCAAAGAGGGAUGCGGAAUUCCAGGUGGAGCGGUGAAAUGCGUAGAGAUCUGGAAGAACACCAAUUGCGAAGGCAGCUCGCUGGGACGUUACUGACGCUGAGACGCGAAAGCGUGGGGAGCGAACAGG
RNAcentral lists this ribosomal RNA (253 nucleotides) under uncultured bacterium. Its description in RNAcentral is "partial 16S ribosomal RNA". It matches the Rfam family "Bacterial small subunit ribosomal RNA", at positions 524 to 776 of the family's 1533-position model. The record is from RNAcentral.